RNAcentral lists this ribosomal RNA (292 nucleotides) under uncultured bacterium. Its description in RNAcentral is "partial 16S ribosomal RNA". It matches the Rfam family "Bacterial small subunit ribosomal RNA", at positions 505 to 796 of the family's 1533-position model. The record is from RNAcentral.
GUGCCAGCCGCCGCGGUAAUACGUAGGGCGCAAGCGUUAUCCGGAUUCACUGGGUUUAAAGGGUGCGUAGGCGGGCAGUUAAGUCCGUGGUGAAAUCUCUGAGCUUAACUCAGAAACUGCCAUGGAUACUAUCUGUCUUGAAUAUUGUGGAGGUGAGCGGAAUAUGUCAUGUAGCGGUGAAAUGCUUAGAUAUGACAUAGAACACCAAUUGCGAAGGCAGCUUGCUACACAGUUAUUGACGCUGAGGCACGAAAGCGUGGGGAUCAAACAGUAUUAGAUACCCCUGUAGUCC